GACGAACGCUGGCGGCGUGCCUAGUACAUGCAAGUAGAACGCUGAAGGAGGAGCUUGCUCUUCUGGAUGAGUUGCGAACGGGUGAGUAACGCGUAGGUAACCUGCCUGGUAGCGGGGGAUAACUAUUGGAAACGAUAGCUAAUACCGCAUAAGAGUAGAUGUUGCAUGACAUUUGCUUAAAAGGUGCAAUUGCAUCACUACCAGGUGGACCUGCGUUGUAUUAGCUAGUUGGUGGGGUAACGGCUCACCAAGGCGACGAUACAUAGCCGACCUGAGAGGGUGAUCGGCCACACUGGGACUGAGACACGGCCCAGACUCCUACGGGAGGCAGCAGUAGGGAAUCUUCGGCAAUGGACGGAAGUCUGACCGAGCAACGCCGCGUGAGUGAAGAAGGUUUUCGGAUCGUAAAGCUCUGUUGUAAGAGAAGAACGAGUGUGAGAGUGGAAAGUUCACACUGUGACGGUAUCUUACCAGAAAGGGACGGCUAACUACGUGCCAGCAGCCGCGGUAAUACGUAGGUCCCGAGCGUUGUCCGGAUUUAUUGGGCGUAAAGCGAGCGCAGGCGGUUAGAUAAGUCUGAAGUUAAAGGCUGUGGCUUAACCAUAGUACGCUUUGGAAACUGUUUAACUUGAGUGCAAGAGGGGAGAGUGGAAUUCCAUGUGUAGCGGUGAAAUGCGUAGAUAUAUGGAGGAACACCGGUGGCGAAAGCGGCUCUCUGGCUUGUAACUGACGCUGAGGCUCGAAAGCGUGGGGAGCAAACAGG
This 763-nucleotide ribosomal RNA is filed under the name uncultured Streptococcus sp. Its description in RNAcentral is "bacterial SSU rRNA". It matches the Rfam family "Bacterial small subunit ribosomal RNA", at positions 28 to 776 of the family's 1533-position model. Lineage: Bacteria; Bacillati; Bacillota; Bacilli; Lactobacillales; Streptococcaceae. The record is from RNAcentral.